This 877-nucleotide ribosomal RNA is filed under the name Microsporidia sp. YuT-2019a. Its description in RNAcentral is "SSU rRNA". It matches the Rfam family "Microsporidia small subunit ribosomal RNA", at positions 1 to 900 of the family's 1311-position model. The record is from RNAcentral. Lineage: Eukaryota; Fungi; Microsporidia.
CACCAGGUUGAUUCUGCCUGACGUAGAGGCUACGCUCGAAGAUUAAGCCAUGCAUGUCCGCAAUUGACAGCGACAGACGGCUCAGUAAUGCUGCGAUGAUUUGAACUUGUUGGGAGGAUAACUAAUGAAACCAUUAGCUAAGAGAGGAGUUUAAGACGCAGGCCCAUCAGUUAGUUGGUAGUGUAAUGGACUACCAAGACGAUGACGGGUGACGGGAAAUUAGGGUUUUAUUCCGGAGAGGGAGCCUGAGAGAUGGCUCCCACGUCCAAGGACGGCAGCAGGCGCGAAAAUUGCCCACUCUUUUUAGAGGAGGCAGUUACGAGAGGUGAAGCAAGGAUGUACUUUAAAAGGGUGUAUGUGAUGCGAUUGGAGGGCAAGUUUGGUGCCAGCAGCCGCGGUAAUACCGACUCCAAGAGUUUCUAUGGUGGAUGCUGCAGUUAAAAAGUCCGUAGUUUUGUGGCGACGAAAGGAUUUGUUACAAGCGAGUCUAGAUUGCCUUUAGUGGGGGAACAGAUAGGGUAGAUGGUAUACGCGGGCGAGAGAUGAAAUUCCAAGACCCCGGGUGGACGGACGGAGGCGAAGGCGAUCUACUUAUAUGAAUCUUACGAUCAAGGACGAAGGUUAGAAUAUCGAAAGUGAUUAGAUACCGCUGUAGUUCUAACAGUAAACAGUGCCGACUUGCCUGGAUGUGAGAGUGUGGGCAGAGAGAAAUCUAAGUGUACGGGCUCUGGGGAUAGUAUGCUCGCAAGGGUGAAAAUUAAAGAAAUUGACGGAGCUACACUACAAGGAGUGGAUUGUGCGGCUUAAUUUGACUCAACGCGGGAAAGCUUACCAGGCCAAGUUGUGUAGAGAAUGGAUACAUGAAUGCGACAGGGAG